CUGACUGCGCCGAAGGUGUUUCGGCUCUUAGUUCCAAGGAGGUUGAGCUCUUCUGUGGGGAAGUGCGAGUGCACUGGCAAAAGGUGCUGCUGAGGAUGGAUUUGAGAACAGCGCUUCUCUCCUUGUCAAAGGCUGCGAAGCCCCUGUGAAAGCGGGGCUUUUAGGCGUGCAGGAAAUGCCCCCUGGCUGGUACAAUUGAUCACGCCACUUUGGAUGAUCAGGCUUUUAAAUCUAGACUGGAUGGGAAUUUGCCCUUGACAGACAAGAACGUGGUGUUAAGGCUGGGAUGUGAACUGUUGCAGCAGACCAUUUGCUAAGGUUAAUCAAAUUUCAACAGUUCUUUAUAGCCGGGUGAAAUCAUCACAGAUCCAUUCUAUUUAGCUAAGUCAUACUCCUCUGUAUUCACAUUUUGAGCUAUGAUGUGACCGCUUCAUUUAGGUGGAUGUAGAGCAGCUGUGGGAUUGGAUGAAAGAGUUAAGAAAUCCUGUGGAGAAAGCAGGAGGUUCUCCAGGUGACCCAAAGCACCUGCAUUUGAAAACCAGUCUCAGAUUCACAUGUCAAAUUGUCAUCCGGAAGGUAUUACUGAUGGCUUAUUUUGACAUCAGAGAUGAAAUCCAAGUUUCUUCUCACUUCAGGAUAAAUGUAUUGUUACGCAUCUAAUUCAGUUACUGCACACUAUUGCUUCUGUUUUCUGAGGAUUGGUGGCACAGCAAAGAUGUUGAUUUGAGGACCCUGUGCCAGGACAGGUCCAUUUCCAUUCAGUUCAAACAGCCGUUCUAGAGGGUGCCUAACAGUGCUAGGAGCAGCAAGCAAGAGCCAGGACUCCUGUCCCCCAGAGAUGGUCCUUGGCUGUGGCUUGGUGCCAAGGCCCCUCUCCCUCCACGGCCGUGAAGACUGCAAGACGUGGCUAAAAAUCCUCUACCGUACUUGAGAAAAUGAAUGUCCUCACCUGAGGAAUGAGACUGGGAGUGGAUCUUGACUGGGUUGUUCUUUCCACAGAAAGGACUCUAGGAAAGGAUGAAGCUGGGAUGAAAAGUCACGGCUGAGUCCUGGUAACUCAUUUCUGCUGGUGGAAUGUGGGGAUAGGAGGGAUAUCGGCCCCUAUGGGGUAAGGGGGAGGAGGCUGGGAGAAGGGGAUAGCAAUUAUGCCAAAGCCCCUGUUCCAGCAGUGGCCACCACUUUAGGUAUCUCCAGCUUCUCCCUCUCAGAGUGACAGCAAGCAAGGGUUUCUGUAGGCUUGGCAUAAGCAAAGAAGAAAGAAAAGACAAACGCAUAAUUACAUUCCACCGUUGGCAUUAACAUGUGCCCUCUGUUAGUUAGGGAGGAGAAGAAAAGAGUCAAGCUUGUACAGCUUUACACUUUUGCUAGUGAAAUGACCUGUACAUAAGAUGUAUCCUAGAUAAGCAGUGCCAUGUCAUCAUCUUUGUCCCUCUUGAGCGAACUGUAACAGUGACACACACAUUCCAGUCCUGUGAUUGAGCCUAACCUGUACCUCGACGUUAACUGGCUUAAUUCAUAUCCUAAAGCUUAGGUUAUACUUUAGAUGUUCAGCUAUUGAAAAAUUGUUGGUUUUCCAUGAUGACUAACCCUACCUGAGAAGCACUUGACUAGGCAAUUUCUUGAGAGCU
Long non-coding RNA from Grus americana (Whooping crane), 1628 nucleotides. RefSeq lists it as uncharacterized. The record is from RefSeq and is a predicted model, not a curated record. The transcript is spliced from 7 exons. Lineage: Eukaryota; Metazoa; Chordata; Aves; Gruiformes; Gruidae.